RNAcentral lists this ribosomal RNA (497 nucleotides) under uncultured bacterium. RNAcentral describes it as "partial 16S ribosomal RNA". It matches the Rfam family "Bacterial small subunit ribosomal RNA", at positions 28 to 507 of the family's 1533-position model. The record is from RNAcentral.
GAUGAACGCUGGCGGCGUGCCUAAUACAUGCAAGUCGAGCGAACGGACGAGAAGCUUGCUUCUCUGAUGUUAGCGGCGGACGGGUGAGUAACACGUGGAUAACCUACCUAUAAGACUGGGAUAACUUCGGGAAACCGGAGCUAAUACCGGAUGAUAUUUUGAACCGCAUGGUUCAAAAGUGAAAGACGGUCUUGCUGUCACUUAUAGAUGGAUCCGCGCUGCAUUAGCUAGUUGGUAAGGUAACGGCUUACCAAGGCAACGAUGCAUAGCCGACCUGAGAGGGUGAUCGGCCACACUGGAACUGAGACACGGUCCAGACUCCUACGGGAGGCAGCAGUAGGGAAUCUUCCGCAAUGGGCGAAAGCCUGACGGAGCAACGCCGAGUGAGUGAUGAAGGUCUUCGGAUCGUAAAACUCUGUUAUUAGGGAAGAACAUAUGUGUAAGUAACUGUGCACAUCUUGACGGUACCUAAUCAGAAAGCAACGGCUAACUACGUG